UAAGGAAUAUUGGUCAAUGGACGCAAGUCUGAACCAGCCAUGCCGCGUGAAGGAUGAAGGUCCUCUGGAUUGUAAACUUCUUUUAUCUGGGACGAAAACGGGAUUUUUAUCUCAAUUGACGGUACCAGAGGAAUAAGCACCGGCUAACUCCGUGCCAGCAGCCGCGGUAAUACGGAGGGUGCGAGCGUUAUCCGGAUUUACUGGGUUUAAAGGGUGCGUAGGUGGGCUUAUAAGUCAGUGGUGAAAUCUCCGAGCUUAACCUGGAAACUGCCGUUGAUACUAUAGGUCUUGAAUUAUCUGGAGGUAAGCGGAAUAUGUCAUGUAGCGGUGAAAUGCUUAGAUAUGACAUAGAACACCAAUUGCGAAGGCAGCUUACUACAUAUAAAUUGACGCUGAGGCACGAAAGCGUGGGGAUCAAACA
RNAcentral lists this ribosomal RNA (421 nucleotides) under uncultured bacterium. Its description in RNAcentral is "bacterial SSU rRNA". It matches the Rfam family "Bacterial small subunit ribosomal RNA", at positions 355 to 774 of the family's 1533-position model. The record is from RNAcentral.